AAACAUGAGAGUUUGAUCCUGGCUCAGAGCGAACGCUGGCGGCGUGCCUAACACAUGCAAGUCGAACGUGAACGGGGCAACCCUAGUAAAGUGGCGUACGGGUGAGUAACGCGUAGAUAAUCUACCCUAAAGUUUGGAAUAACCGGCCGAAAGGCUGGCUAAUACCGGAUAGAGCGACGGAAUCCGCAAUCGGAUUUUUCGGGAAAGGGAGCUCGCAAGAGCCUUCGCUUUAGGAUGAGUCUGCGUCUCAUUAGCUAGUUGGUGGGGUAAUGGCCCACCAAGGCAUUGAUGGGUAGCUGGUCUGAGAGGAUGAUCAGCCACACUGGAACUGAAACACGGUCCAGACUCCUACGGGAGGCAGCAGUGGGGAAUCUUGCGCAAUGGACGAAAGUCUGACGCAGCCACGCCGCGUGAGUGAAGAAGGCCUUCGGGUUGUAAAGCUCUGUCGGA
Molecule: ribosomal RNA, 450 nt
Filed under: Oligoflexia bacterium
Lineage: Bacteria; Pseudomonadati; Bdellovibrionota; Oligoflexia
Description: bacterial SSU rRNA
Rfam family: Bacterial small subunit ribosomal RNA
Source: RNAcentral